UUUCCGUAGGUGAACCUGCGGAAGGAUCAUUAAUGAUUUUUUUAAGCGAUCCGAGCGAUUAAAAGCGAGGAUUGCGAAAUAUUUAAAACCCCACUCUUUUAAACUAUUAUGAAAACGUGAAUUUUUUUUAAAAAAAGAUCACUUUCAACAACGGAUCUCUUGGCUCUCGCAUCGAGGAAGAACGCAGCGAAAUGCGAUAAGUAGUGUGAAUUGCAGAAAUUGUGAAUCAUCGAAUCUUUGAACGCAAAUUGCACUCUCUGGUAUUCCGGAGAGUAUGCCUGUUUGAGGGUCAGUUAAAUAAAAAUCGAUGUUGUUGCCGUCUUGCGUGGUGACGCAUCGGAUGUGGGUCGUCUUACCUUCGGUUAAGUGACCUAAAAUUUUGCAUGAUUUUUUUCGAACGUAUUUAAAUUAUUUACGUGCGUUUGUGAUAAUCAAACAUUAGACGUGAUCAUUCUCAUGAUUCGCGCCUAUGUUUUCUCAUCAAAAUGACCUCAAAUCAGGUGAGAGUACCCGCUGAACUUAA
RNAcentral lists this ribosomal RNA (523 nucleotides) under uncultured Glomus. Its description in RNAcentral is "eukaryotic LSU rRNA". The stretch from base 140 to 292 matches the Rfam family "5.8S ribosomal RNA". The record is from RNAcentral. Lineage: Eukaryota; Fungi; Glomeromycota; Glomeromycetes; Glomerales; Glomeraceae.